CAGUCGCCGCGGUAAUACAGAGGAUGCAAGCGUUAUCCGGAAUGAUUGGGCGUAAAGGGCGCGUAGGCGGCGGCCAAAGUCAGGCGUGAAAUUCCCGGGCUCAACCUGGGGGCUGCGUUUGAUACUUGGUUGCUUGAGUGGGGAAGAGGGUCGUGGAAUUCCCAGUGUAGAGGUGAAAUUCGUAGAUAUUGGGAAGAACACCGGUGGCGAAGGCGGCGACCUGGUCCUUGACUGACGCUGAGGCGCGAAAGCGUGGGGAGCAAACAGGAUUAGAUACCCGCGUAGUCCCUGUCUCUUAUAC
This 301-nucleotide ribosomal RNA is filed under the name uncultured bacterium. RNAcentral describes it as "partial 16S ribosomal RNA". It matches the Rfam family "Bacterial small subunit ribosomal RNA", at positions 509 to 807 of the family's 1533-position model. The record is from RNAcentral.